RNAcentral lists this ribosomal RNA (1839 nucleotides) under Triticum aestivum (bread wheat). RNAcentral describes it as "partial small subunit ribosomal RNA". The record is from RNAcentral. Lineage: Eukaryota; Viridiplantae; Streptophyta; Magnoliopsida; Poales; Poaceae.
AUGGCAUUGGCGACGCCGCUCCGCCACCUCCUCGCCGCGCAGCCCGAGCCCGCCGCCGGAGCGGCGCCGUCCUUGGCCCUGACGCAGCCAGGACGCGCCUUCCCACCCCACCGUGGCGUCCGCUUCCGCGCCAGGCACGCGGCGGCGCCCUUAUCGUCGCCACCUGCCAGGGCCGCCGGGGUCGCGGCGAGGGCGGCGGGCGGGGGGCGGCCGACGGUGCUGGUCACGGAGAAGCUGGGGGCGGCGGGGCUGGAGCUGCUGCGGGCGUUCGCCAACGUGGACUGCGCGUACGAGCUGACGGCGGAGGAGCUGCGCGCCAAGGUGUCGCUGGUGGACGCGCUGGUGGUGCGCAGCGCCACGCGGGUGACCCGGGAGGUCUUCGAGGCGGCGCGCGGGCGGCUGCGCGUCGUGGGCCGCGCCGGCGUCGGCAUCGACAACGUCGACCUCCAGGCCGCCACGGAGGCCGGCUGCCUCGUCGUCAACGCGCCCACCGCCAACACCGUCGCCGCCGCCGAGCACGCCGUCGCGCUGCUCGCCGCCAUGGCCCGCAAUGUCGCCCAGGCCGACGCCUCCCUCAAGACCGGCAAAUGGCAGCGUAGCAAAUAUGUCGGCGUUUCCUUGGUUGGAAAGACAAUAGCUAUUAUGGGCUUCGGGAAGGUUGGUUCAGAGGUUGCUCGACGCGCGAAAGGACUUGGAAUGGAUGUCAUUGCUCAUGACCCAUAUGCCCCCGUCGAUAGAGCCCGAGCUAUCGGUGUAGAUCUCGUAUCAUUCGAUGACGCCAUCUCCACUGCAGACUUCAUAUCACUGCAUAUGCCUCUAACACCAUCAACAACAAAAAUUUUCAACGACGAGACUUUUGCAAAAAUGACGAAAGGAGUAAGGCUUAUCAAUGUUGCGAGGGGUGGAGUGGUUGAUGAAGAAGCAUUGCUGAGAGCACUUGAUAAUGGGACUGUUGCACAGGCAGCACUCGACGUGUUCUUUGAAGAGCCACCGCCGAAAGACAGCAAGUUAGUACACCAUGAAAAUGUCACAGUGACACCGCACCUUGGAGCUAGCACAACAGAAGCACAGGAAGGCGUUGCCCUUGAAAUCGCAGAGGCUGUUAUCGGUGCACUGAAAGGUGAACUGGCUGCCACUGCUGUCAAUGCCCCAAUGGUCUCUGCUGAGAUUUUAGCCGAGUUAUCCCCAUAUGUCAUCCUUGCUGAGAAGCUGGGACGUCUUGCCGUGCAACUCGUGGCUGGUGGCAGUGGGAUCAAGGCAGUCAAGGUCGUCUACUCAUCGGCUAGAGACCCGGAUGACUUGGACACAAGAAUUCUCCGCGCCAUGGUCACGAAAGGCAUCGUCGAACCCAUUUCAAGUGCAUUUGUCAACAUUGUCAAUGCUGACUACGUCGCCAAGCAACGAGGGCUCCGCAUAAUCGAGGAGCAGAUUCUCCUCGAUGGCUCCCCUGAGGUCCCUAUAAACUCCAUCCAGGUCCAGCUUGCCAAUGUGGAGUCCAAGUUCGCCGGCGCGCUGUCCGACGACGGUGACAUCAGGGUGGAGGGGAAGGUUAAGGAUGGCACACCGCAUCUCACGCUCGUCGGCCCUUUCAGCGUCGACGUCAGCCUUGAGGGCAACUUGUUGCUGUGCCGGCAGGUCGACCAGCCGGGCAUCAUCGGCAAGGUGGGAUCGAUUCUCGGGACGAUGAACCUGAAUGUCAACUUUAUGAGCGUUGGCAGGAUUGCUCCAGGGAAGCAGGCCAUCAUGGCCAUUGGGAUUGAUGAGGAGCCUGAUAAGGAAGCUCUCAAGUUGAUCGGGGAGACGCCCUCGGUACAGGAGUUUGUCUUUCUAAAGCUUUAG